GCACCCGUAGCUCAGCUGGAUAGAGCGCUGCCCUCCGAAGGCAGAGGCCGCAGAUUCGAAUUCUGCCGGGUGCGCCA
Molecule: transfer RNA, 77 nt
Filed under: Sphingomonas sp.
Lineage: Bacteria; Pseudomonadati; Pseudomonadota; Alphaproteobacteria; Sphingomonadales; Sphingomonadaceae
Also listed under: 4 other names
Description: tRNA-Arg
Rfam family: tRNA
About the family: Transfer RNA (tRNA) molecules are approximately 80 nucleotides in length.
Source: RNAcentral